GCAUCAUUGGUCUAGUGGUAGAAUUCAUCGUUGCCAUCCAACUGAUUAGCUAAUCAGUCACGUGAUUCGAUGAGGCCCGUGUUCGAUUCACGGAUGAUGCA
The sequence is a transfer RNA, 101 nucleotides long. It matches the Rfam family "tRNA". From Rfam's summary of the family: Transfer RNA (tRNA) molecules are approximately 80 nucleotides in length.